ACGAAGGCGUGACAGCACCUCACUCUAUGAGAAGUCCCAGCACAUGAACAGGCCGGGGAAAGAUACCCAGUACAAGGAACUGUUCCGAAGCCUAAAGUUAGAGUUCAACUCCCUCCUUCCUGCAAGCCGCACGCACAGAAUCCUGACCUUGGCUGCAGGAUCAGACUUUUAAAUCUUGCCAUGUUCCCCCCCCCUCCAGGAACGUGUUUUUGCAGACACUAGGAGGGUGCAAUGGUGAACAAAACAAAGGCUCCCUCUGUCUGCAGGAGAUAGAACAAGGCACUGUGGACCCUAUGCCUACAUCCCCAGAGUGGGUCCCUUCAGCUCGCCACUGGGCAUCCAUGUCCUUGGAAGGGAGCUGUGGACAGUGACCACUGGGUCACCUGAUCCUUGCUGGAAACCUCCAUGUUUCAGUAUUGCCAGAUGUUGUAAGAAUCCUAAGUGGGUCAGGACCAGAAGUGAGUAGAUGGCCUCCUUUCUAACUGCAGUGUUCGGCCAGGACCCCGCCUGCAGCGCACCUGAGAGCCAACACCGCGCUGCUCUAGUCUCUUGUUUCUCAAAUUCCCAAGAGCAGAACCCUGCCACAGAGCAGAGCUGAGCUGCAGGAACAUCUGGACUCAGCAGAGGUGGGGACCCAAGUCCAAGACAGCCCAGGUCUCAGGUCCCUGGUGUGAUUGGAGGGAAGGUGUGUGGAUGCUCCCAGCCCGCAGUGCCACCAGCAGAAUGAAGACCGUGUGCCCACAGAGCAUCCUAGUCAUCACUCAGACCAGGUCUGUCACCCAUGUCUGCCCUUUGUUGGAGGCUCCUCCAUGCCAGUGGGGACCAGCGUUGACAACUUCCUAGUGUGCCCCUCUUCAUAUGGUUCUUGCACACUCUUGCUAAUUCCCAUCCCCUCACAAUCUGCGGAACUUCUUCUCUGACAUGUAGAGCAGAAGCGACAAAACACAGGGCUUCCUAGGCAAGGCAUGAAAUAGCUUAGCGGAGUCAGACCCUUGUAGUCUGGAACUCCAAAACCAGCACCACAGUCAUCUGCCUCAACCACCAACCGUCCCAACACCCUUCGGUCUUCAGGUCUUUCCUCUUCCACUUUAUUUCUACUUAAUGUUUUCUGUUAUUAAUAAAAAUUGAUUAUCUUGUUCCUGA
Molecule: non-coding RNA, 1143 nt
Organism: Rattus norvegicus (Norway rat)
Lineage: Eukaryota; Metazoa; Chordata; Mammalia; Rodentia; Muridae
Source: RefSeq, a predicted model, not a curated record